UAAAGGAAAAGUUCAGUUUGGGGUUUUAAAACCCUAAUGCUGACUCAAGGGAAGAGUUCAGUUUAGGGUUUUAAAACCCUAAUGCUGACUGAAUGGAAAAGUUCAGUUUAGGGUUAAGAACCCUAAUACUGAUUGAAUGGAAAAGUUCAGUUUAGGGUUUAGAACCCUAAUGCGGACUGAAAUGAAAGAGUUCAGUUUAGGGUUUAAAACCCUAAUGAUGACUAAAGGAAAAAGUUCAGUUUAGGGUUUAAAACCCUAAUGCUGACUGAAUGGAAAAGUUCAGUUUAGGGUUUAAAACCCUAAUGCUGACUGAAUAGAAAAGAGUUCAGUUAAGGGUUUAAAACCCUAAUGCUGACUAAAGGAAAAGUUCAGUUUAGGGUUUAAAACCCUAACGCUGACUAAAGGGAAAGUUCAGUUUAGGGUUUAAAACCCUAAUGCUGACUAAAUGGGAAAAGUUCAGUUUAGGGUUUAAAACCCUAAUGCUGACUGAAGGAAAGAGUUCAGUUUAGGGUUUAAAACCCUAAUGUUGACUAAAUGGGAAAAGUUUAGUGUAGGGUUUAAAACCCUAACGCUGACUAAAGGGAAAGUUCAGUUUAGGGUUUAAAAUCUUAAUGCUGACUGAAGGAAAGAGUUCAGUUUAGGGUUUAAAACCCUAAUGCUGACUAAAUGGGAAAAGUUCAGUUUAGGGUUUAAAACCCUAAUGCUGACUAAAGGGAAAAAGUUCAGUUUAGGGUUUAAAACCCUAAUGCAGACUAAAGGAAAGAGUUCAGUUCAGGGUUUAAAACCCUAAUGCUGACUAAAGGAAAAAGUUCAGUUUAGGGUUUAAAACCCUAAUGCUGACUAAAGGAAAAGAGUUCAGUUUAGGGUUUAAAACCCUAAUGCUGACUGAAGGGAAAAAGUUCAGUUUAGGAUUUUAAAACCCUAAUGCCGACUAAAGGAAAAAGUUCAGUUCAGGGUUUAAAACCCUAAUGCUGACUAAAGGAAAAAAGUUCAGUUUAGGGUUUAAAACCCUAAUGCUGACUAAAGGAAAAAAGUUUAGUUUAGGGUUUAAAACCCUAAUGCUGACUAAAUGGGAAAAGUUUAGUUUAGGGUUUAACACCCUAAUGCUGACUAAAGGGAAAAAGUUCAGUUUAGGGUUUUAAAACCCUAAUGCUGACUAAAGGAAAGAGUUCAGUGUAGAGUUUAAAACCCUAACGCAGACUAAAGGAAAAAAGUUCAGUUUAGGGUUUAAAACCCUAAUGCUGACUGAAGGAAAGAGUUCAGUUUAGGGUUUAAAACCCUAAUGCUGACUAAAUGGGAAAAGUUCAGUUUAGGGUUUAAAAACCCUAAUGCUGACUUAAGGGAAAAAGUUCAGUGUAGAGUUUAAAACCCUAACGCUGACUUAAGGGAAAAAGUUCAGUUUAGGGUUUAAAACCCUAAUGCUGACUGAAGGAAAGAGUUCAGUUCAGGGUUUAAAACCCUAAUGCUGACUAAAGGAAAAAGUUCAGUUUAGGGUUUAAAACCCUAAUGCAGACAAAAGGAAAAAAGUUUAGUUUAGGGUUUAAAACCCUAAUGCUGACUAAAGGAAAAAGUUCAGUUUAGGGUUUAAAACCCUAAUGCUGACUAAAGGAAAAAAGUUCAGUUUAGGGUUUAAAACCCUAAUGUUGACUGAAGGAAAGAGUUCAGUUUAGGGUU
Molecule: long non-coding RNA, 1674 nt
Filed under: Nicotiana tabacum (common tobacco)
Lineage: Eukaryota; Viridiplantae; Streptophyta; Magnoliopsida; Solanales; Solanaceae
Description: long non-coding RNA (NTAB_LNC002708)
Source: RNAcentral